CGGCGGGGGAACCGCCUGGUUGCGCCGGGGACACGCGUGGGAGCGGCGGCCGCGGUCCUCAGGGCGCGUCGCCCCGCGGGAGGGACACCUCGCCUUCCCAGAGGACUGCAACCCACGUUCUCCCUUCUGUGAAGUCGGAAGGAGGCAAAACUUCAGAUGGAAAAGCAGGCAAAGAUAACCCACGUCCUGUUCCUCCCUGGGAACCCGGGGAACUUUGUGGGGCCCUUUGGAGGCAGCGCAGGCACUCAGCGGUGUCUGUGCUCCGCCGGGACAUCCAUUCCGUUUAGGGGUUAACAUCUCCCAGCCCCGCUUGCCCCUGAAGCCGGUGCCGGAUCCGAACCAAGGCAGAGUGGAGCUGCGGGUGUUCCAGGGGGCUCAACCCCCAGCUGGCAGCAUCACCCCCUCAGCCAGCACCACCUCUGCCGUCCCUGCCCACCGCUGCAGCCACUCCGCGGGGGUUUUCCGAAAACCCUCCUUCCUCUGAGCAAGAUCUGACAUUUCAGAAACAAUUUGGGAAGUUAACAACUUUUAAAGAA
This is a long non-coding RNA of Serinus canaria (Common canary), 536 nucleotides long. RefSeq lists it as uncharacterized. The record is from RefSeq and is a predicted model, not a curated record. The transcript has 3 exons. Lineage: Eukaryota; Metazoa; Chordata; Aves; Passeriformes; Fringillidae.